Molecule: ribosomal RNA, 426 nt
Filed under: uncultured bacterium
Lineage: Bacteria
Description: bacterial SSU rRNA
Rfam family: Bacterial small subunit ribosomal RNA
Source: RNAcentral
UGGGGAAUUGUUCGCAAUGGGCGCAAGCCUGACGACGCAACGCCGCGUGGAGGAUGAAGGUCUUCGGAUUGUAAACUCCUGUUGAUCGGGAAGAAUGGCCUCCGGGUGAAUACUCCGGAGGAAUGACGGUACCGAUUGAGGAAGCCCCGGCUAACUCUGUGCCAGCAGCCGCGGUAAUACAGAGGUGGCAAGCGUUGUUCGGCAUUACUGGGCGUAAAGGGCGCGUAGGCGGCCUUCUAAGUCGGACGUGAAAGCCCCAGGCUUAACCUGGGAACUGCGUCCGAUACUGGGAGGCUUGGAUUCGGGAGAGGGAUGUGGAAUUCCAGGUGUAGCGGUGAAAUGCGUAGAUAUCUGGAGGAACACCGGUGGCGAAGGCGGCAUCCUGGACCGGGAUCGACGCUGAGGCGCGAAAGCUAGGGGAGCAAA